GGGGGGUUACCAGAGCGGUCAAAUGGGGCAGACUGUAAAUCUGUUGGCUUAGCCUUCGGAAGUUCGAAUCUUCCACCCCCCA
Molecule: transfer RNA, 82 nt
Filed under: Bacteroidota bacterium
Lineage: Bacteria; Pseudomonadati; Bacteroidota
Description: tRNA-Tyr
Rfam family: tRNA
About the family: Transfer RNA (tRNA) molecules are approximately 80 nucleotides in length. Their secondary structure includes four short double-helical elements and three loops (D, anti-codon, and T loops). Further hydrogen bonds mediate the characteristic L-shaped molecular structure. tRNAs have two regions of fundamental functional importance: the anti-codon, which is responsible for specific mRNA codon recognition, and the 3' end, to which the tRNAs corresponding amino acid is attached (by aminoacyl-tRNA synthetases). tRNAs cope with the degeneracy of the genetic code in two manners: having more than one tRNA (with a specific anti-codon) for a particular amino acid; and 'wobble' base-pairing, i.e. permitting non-standard base-pairing at the 3rd anti-codon position.
Source: RNAcentral